RNAcentral lists this ribosomal RNA (2892 nucleotides) under Escherichia coli. RNAcentral describes it as "bacterial LSU rRNA". It matches the Rfam family "Bacterial large subunit ribosomal RNA". The record is from RNAcentral. Lineage: Bacteria; Pseudomonadati; Pseudomonadota; Gammaproteobacteria; Enterobacterales; Enterobacteriaceae.
ACUAAGCGUACACGGUGGAUGCCCUGGCAGUCAGAGGCGAUGAAGGACGUGCUAAUCUGCGAUAAGCGUCGGUAAGGUGAUAUGAACCGUUAUAACCGGCGAUUUCCGAAUGGGGAAACCCAGUGUGUUUCGACACACUAUCAUUAACUGAAUCCAUAGGUUAAUGAGGCGAACCGGGGGAACUGAAACAUCUAAGUACCCCGAGGAAAAGAAAUCAACCGAGAUUCCCCCAGUAGCGGCGAGCGAACGGGGAGCAGCCCAGAGCCUGAAUCAGUGUGUGUGUUAGUGGAAGCGUCUGGAAAGGCGCGCGAUACAGGGUGACAGCCCCGUACACAAAAAUGCACAUGCUGUGAGCUCGAUGAGUAGGGCGGGACACGUGGUAUCCUGUCUGAAUAUGGGGGGACCAUCCUCCAAGGCUAAAUACUCCUGACUGACCGAUAGUGAACCAGUACCGUGAGGGAAAGGCGAAAAGAACCCCGGCGAGGGGAGUGAAAAAGAACCUGAAACCGUGUACGUACAAGCAGUGGGAGCACGCUUCGGCGUGUGACUGCGUACCUUUUGUAUAAUGGGUCAGCGACUUAUAUUCUGUAGCAAGGUUAACCGAAUAGGGGAGCCGAAGGGAAACCGAGUCUUAACUGGGCGUUAAGUUGCAGGGUAUAGACCCGAAACCCGGUGAUCUAGCCAUGGGCAGGUUGAAGGUUGGGUAACACUAACUGGAGGACCGAACCGACUAAUGUUGAAAAAUUAGCGGAUGACUUGUGGCUGGGGGUGAAAGGCCAAUCAAACCGGGAGAUAGCUGGUUCUCCCCGAAAGCUAUUUAGGUAGCGCCUCGUGAAUUCAUCUCCGGGGGUAGAGCACUGUUUCGGCAAGGGGGUCAUCCCGACUUACCAACCCGAUGCAAACUGCGAAUACCGGAGAAUGUUAUCACGGGAGACACACGGCGGGUGCUAACGUCCGUCGUGAAGAGGGAAACAACCCAGACCGCCAGCUAAGGUCCCAAAGUCAUGGUUAAGUGGGAAACGAUGUGGGAAGGCCCAGACAGCCAGGAUGUUGGCUUAGAAGCAGCCAUCAUUUAAAGAAAGCGUAAUAGCUCACUGGUCGAGUCGGCCUGCGCGGAAGAUGUAACGGGGCUAAACCAUGCACCGAAGCUGCGGCAGCGACACUGUGUGUUGUUGGGUAGGGGAGCGUUCUGUAAGCCUGUGAAGGUGUACUGUGAGGUAUGCUGGAGGUAUCAGAAGUGCGAAUGCUGACAUAAGUAACGAUAAAGCGGGUGAAAAGCCCGCUCGCCGGAAGACCAAGGGUUCCUGUCCAACGUUAAUCGGGGCAGGGUGAGUCGACCCCUAAGGCGAGGCCGAAAGGCGUAGUCGAUGGGAAACAGGUUAAUAUUCCUGUACUUGGUGUUACUGCGAAGGGGGGACGGAGAAGGCUAUGUUGGCCGGGCGACGGUUGUCCCGGUUUAAGCGUGUAGGCUGGUUUUCCAGGCAAAUCCGGAAAAUCAAGGCUGAGGCGUGAUGACGAGGCACUACGGUGCUGAAGCAACAAAUGCCCUGCUUCCAGGAAAAGCCUCUAAGCAUCAGGUAACAUCAAAUCGUACCCCAAACCGACACAGGUGGUCAGGUAGAGAAUACCAAGGCGCUUGAGAGAACUCGGGUGAAGGAACUAGGCAAAAUGGUGCCGUAACUUCGGGAGAAGGCACGCUGAUAUGUAGGUGAAGCGACUUGCUCGUGGAGCUGAAAUCAGUCGAAGAUACCAGCUGGCUGCAACUGUUUAUUAAAAACACAGCACUGUGCAAACACGAAAGUGGACGUAUACGGUGUGACGCCUGCCCGGUGCCGGAAGGUUAAUUGAUGGGGUUAGCGCAAGCGAAGCUCUUGAUCGAAGCCCCGGUAAACGGCGGCCGUAACUAUAACGGUCCUAAGGUAGCGAAAUUCCUUGUCGGGUAAGUUCCGACCUGCACGAAUGGCGUAAUGAUGGCCAGGCUGUCUCCACCCGAGACUCAGUGAAAUUGAACUCGCUGUGAAGAUGCAGUGUACCCGCGGCAAGACGGAAAGACCCCGUGAACCUUUACUAUAGCUUGACACUGAACAUUGAGCCUUGAUGUGUAGGAUAGGUGGGAGGCUUUGAAGUGUGGACGCCAGUCUGCAUGGAGCCGACCUUGAAAUACCACCCUUUAAUGUUUGAUGUUCUAACGUGGACCCGUGAUCCGGGUUGCGGACAGUGUCUGGUGGGUAGUUUGACUGGGGCGGUCUCCUCCUAAAGAGUAACGGAGGAGCACGAAGGUUGGCUAAUCCUGGUCGGACAUCAGGAGGUUAGUGCAAUGGCAUAAGCCAGCUUGACUGCGAGCGUGACGGCGCGAGCAGGUGCGAAAGCAGGUCAUAGUGAUCCGGUGGUUCUGAAUGGAAGGGCCAUCGCUCAACGGAUAAAAGGUACUCCGGGGAUAACAGGCUGAUACCGCCCAAGAGUUCAUAUCGACGGCGGUGUUUGGCACCUCGAUGUCGGCUCAUCACAUCCUGGGGCUGAAGUAGGUCCCAAGGGUAUGGCUGUUCGCCAUUUAAAGUGGUACGCGAGCUGGGUUUAGAACGUCGUGAGACAGUUCGGUCCCUAUCUGCCGUGGGCGCUGGAGAACUGAGGGGGGCUGCUCCUAGUACGAGAGGACCGGAGUGGACGCAUCACUGGUGUUCGGGUUGUCAUGCCAAUGGCACUGCCCGGUAGCUAAAUGCGGAAGAGAUAAGUGCUGAAAGCAUCUAAGCACGAAACUUGCCCCGAGAUGAGUUCUCCCUGACUCCUUGAGAGUCCUGAAGGAACGUUGAAGACGACGACGUUGAUAGGCCGGGUGUGUAAGCGCAGCGAUGCGUUGAGCUAACCGGUACUAAUGAACCGUGAGGCUUAACC